RNAcentral lists this ribosomal RNA (305 nucleotides) under uncultured bacterium. RNAcentral describes it as "bacterial SSU rRNA". It matches the Rfam family "Bacterial small subunit ribosomal RNA", at positions 337 to 656 of the family's 1533-position model. The record is from RNAcentral.
GCCUACGGGGGGCAGCAGUGGGGAAUAUUGCACAAUGGGGGAAACCCUGAUGCAGCAACGCCGCGUGAAGGAAGACAGUUUUCGGAUUGUAAACUUCUUUUCUUAGUGAAGAAGCAAGUGACGGUAUCUAACGAAUAAGCACCGGCUAACUCCGUGCCAGCAGCCGCGGUAAUACGGAGGGUGCAAGCGUUACUCGGAAUCACUGGGCGUAAAGAGUGCGUAGGCGGGGUAAUAAGUCAGAUGUGAAAUCCUGUAGCUUAACUACAGAACUGCAUUUGAAACUGUUACUCUGGAGUGUGGGAGAG